ACUUAAAAUCCGUCGAUUUUCAAAAUCG
Molecule: transfer RNA, 28 nt
Filed under: Nymphoides minima
Lineage: Eukaryota; Viridiplantae; Streptophyta; Magnoliopsida; Asterales; Menyanthaceae
Description: partial tRNA-Leu
Source: RNAcentral